Molecule: ribosomal RNA, 473 nt
Filed under: uncultured bacterium
Lineage: Bacteria
Description: partial 16S ribosomal RNA
Rfam family: Bacterial small subunit ribosomal RNA
Source: RNAcentral
GAUAAACGCUGGCGGCGCACAUAAGACAUGCAAGUUGAACGGACUUAAUCGAAAUAUUUAUAUUUUGAAGCGGUUAGUGGCGGACUGGUGAGUAACGCGUAAGGAACCUGCCUAUUAGAGGGGAAUAACAGUGAGAAAUCAUUGCUAAUACCGCAUAUGCCAUAGAUAUCACAUGAUAACAGUGGGAAAGGAGCAAUCCGCUAAUAGAUGGCCUUGCGUCUGAUUAGAUAGUUGGUGGGGUAACGGCCUACCAAGUCGACGAUCAGUAGCCGGACUGAGAGGUUGAACGGCCACAUUGGGACUGAGAUACGGCCCAGACUCCUACGGGAGGCAGCAGUCGGGAAUAUUGCGCAAUGGAGGAAACUUUGACGCAGUGACGCCGCGUAUAGGAAGAAGGUUUUCGGAUUGUAAACUAUUGUCGUUAGGGAAGAGAAAGGACAGUACCUAAGGAGGAAGCUCCGGCUAACUACGUG